GAUAAGAACGUAGCGAAAUGCGAUACGUAAUGUGAAUUGCAGAUUUCAGUGAAUCAUCGAAUCUUUGAACGCACAUUGCGCCCGCUAGUAUUCUGGCGGGCAUGCCUGUUCGAGCGUCAUUUCAACCAUCAAGCCCUAGGCUUGCGUUGGAGCCCUGCGGCUGCCGCAGGCUCCCAAAUCCAGUGGCGGGCUCGUCGUCGUACCGAGUGCAGUAAACAUCCUCGCUCAGGGAACGUGACGGGUUCUUGCCGUGAAACCCCCCACAUAUCAAGGUUGACCUCGGAUCAGGUAGGAAUACCCGCUGAACUUAAGCAUAUCAAUAAGCGGAGGA
RNAcentral lists this unclassified non-coding RNA (331 nucleotides) under soil metagenome. Its description in RNAcentral is "partial contains 5.8S ribosomal RNA, internal transcribed spacer 2, and large subunit ribosomal RNA". The stretch from base 4 to 119 matches the Rfam family "5.8S ribosomal RNA", at positions 39 to 154 of the family's 154-position model. The record is from RNAcentral.